RNAcentral lists this ribosomal RNA (255 nucleotides) under uncultured bacterium. RNAcentral describes it as "partial 16S ribosomal RNA". It matches the Rfam family "Bacterial small subunit ribosomal RNA", at positions 524 to 776 of the family's 1533-position model. The record is from RNAcentral.
UACGUAGGUGGCAAGCGUUGUCCGGAUUUUAUUGGGUUUAAAGGGUGCGUAGGCGGUUCUAUAAGUCAGUGGUGAAAUCCGGCAGCUCAACUGUCGAUGUGCCAUUGAUACUGCAGAACUUGAGUACAGACGAGGUAGGCGGAAUUGACGGUGUAGCGGUGAAAUGCUUAGAUAUCGUCAAGAACACCGAUAGCGAAGGCAGCUUACUAGGCUGUAACUGACGCUGAUGCACGAAAAGUGUGGGGAUCAAACAGG